This 201-nucleotide small RNA is filed under the name Kitasatospora aureofaciens. RNAcentral's name for it is "Streptomyces aureofaciens c-di-AMP sequence". The stretch from base 39 to 201 matches the Rfam family "c-di-AMP riboswitch aptamer (ydaO/yuaA leader)". From Rfam's summary of the family: This family represents a conserved RNA structure found upstream of the ydaO and yuaA genes in Bacillus subtilis and related genes in other bacteria. The ydaO/yuaA element is thought to act as a genetic "off" switch for the ydaO and yuaA genes in its native state. The record is from RNAcentral. Lineage: Bacteria; Bacillati; Actinomycetota; Actinomycetes; Kitasatosporales; Streptomycetaceae.
CUCUCCGGAACGCCGAAUCCUGUCGCCGGGCCGAGCGGGCACGCGCAACACCAGCAUCACGGCAGGAGCGGGGGAACCACAGGUAAGUCGCGCUGCCCGGACUGGUCCGGGCAGCGCUAGGGGUGAGGUCGCGCUUGGCGCGGCCGGGCAACUCCAGCCCGAACCCGACAGCUCACCUCGUAGGCGUGGGAGAGGAAACAC